UUGUCGGUUUCCUGUGUUGCCUACCUAAUAUACGGUAUUGAUUUGGCUUAUCAAAGUUCUGUUCGUCUUUCGUCAUAUGCUUAUGACGUAGGAUGAACCCUAAACCUGUCUCUUUGAACCACAUCAUUUAUGCUUGUGUUGAUGUAGUGGCGCAUUGAGCCUUGCUUGGUCUCUUCGAUGUAGUACUUGAUGUGGGCAUGGGUCUCAUGGGAUCCUUGUUUUGUCCCUGUUUAGUGUUUACGCUCCCUAAAAUGACUGCUUGACACGCUUUGGCUCGUAACAACGUGUUAGGCUUUGUCUAAGAGGAAUGUUACCUGGU
RNAcentral lists this unclassified non-coding RNA (319 nucleotides) under Urolepis hecatantha. RNAcentral describes it as "partial contains external transcribed spacer and 18S ribosomal RNA". The record is from RNAcentral. Lineage: Eukaryota; Viridiplantae; Streptophyta; Magnoliopsida; Asterales; Asteraceae.